CACCAGGAGCCCAAGAGAAACUGACAAGCCUGCCAUCGAGACGAGGGAUCAGCUCAUGCAGCUACUGUCUGAAUGGAAAUUCACAGACCUCUGGAGGACAAGAAGGGCUGUCAAGCAGCUAUUUCAGCAGAUUCUCACAACUCUGAAGCGCAGCUGCAAGACACUGCGGAUGGAACCCGACAGGGUGAUGCACAGCCCAGUACAGCUCUUUCUGCAGAAGCUGUGUUGUGACCUCACGGACCAUCUAACCCUGCUGGUCACAACACAUCUUGAUCAGAAGUAGUUACUUGAUCCAAGGAUCUCAUCCAGCUGUUUCUUGAAUGAAGCCAA
This is a long non-coding RNA of Lepisosteus oculatus (spotted gar), 330 nucleotides long. RefSeq lists it as uncharacterized. Lineage: Eukaryota; Metazoa; Chordata; Actinopteri; Semionotiformes; Lepisosteidae. The record is from RefSeq and is a predicted model, not a curated record.